RNAcentral lists this ribosomal RNA (992 nucleotides) under Salmonella enterica. Its description in RNAcentral is "partial 23S ribosomal RNA". It matches the Rfam family "Bacterial large subunit ribosomal RNA", at positions 705 to 1694 of the family's 2925-position model. Lineage: Bacteria; Pseudomonadati; Pseudomonadota; Gammaproteobacteria; Enterobacterales; Enterobacteriaceae. The record is from RNAcentral.
GGGUAUAGACCCGAAACCCGGUGAUCUAGCCAUGGGCAGGUUGAAGGUUGGGUAACACUAACUGGAGGACCGAACCGACUAAUGUUGAAAAAUUAGCGGAUGACCUGUGGCUGGGGGUGAAAGGCCAAUCAAACCGGGAGAUAGCUGGUUCUCCCCGAAAGCUAUUUAGGUAGCGCCUCGUGAAUUCAUCUCCGGGGGUAGAGCACUGUUUCGGCUAGGGGGCCAUCCCGGCUUACCAACCCGAUGCAAACUGCGAAUACCGGAGAAUGUUAUCACGGGAGACACACGGCGGGUGCUAACGUCCGUCGUGAAGAGGGAAACAACCCAGACCGCCAGCUAAGGUCCCAAAGUCAUGGUUAAGUGGGAAACGAUGUGGGAAGGCCCAGACAGCCAGGAUGUUGGCUUAGAAGCAGCCAUCAUUUAAAGAAAGCGUAAUAGCUCACUGGUCGAGUCGGCCUGCGCGGAAGAUGUAACGGGGCUAAACCAUGCACCGAAGCUGCGGCAGCGACGCUGAUGCGUUGUUGGGUAGGGGAGCGUUCUGUAAGCCUGCGAAGGUGGCCUGUGAGGGUUGCUGGAGGUAUCAGAAGUGCGAAUGCUGACAUAAGUAACGAUAAAGCGGGUGAAAAGCCCGCUCGCCGGAAGACCAAGGGUUCCUGUCCAACGUUAAUCGGGGCAGGGUGAGUCGACCCCUAAGGCGAGGCCGAAAGGCGUAGUCGAUGGGAAACGGGUUAAUAUUCCCGUACUUGGUGUUACUGCGAAGGGGGGACGGAGAAGGCUAUGUUGGCCGGGCGACGGUUGUCCCGGUUUAAGCGUGUAGGUGUGUGUUCCAGGUAAAUCCGGUUCACUUUAACACUGAGGCGUGAUGACGAGGCACUACGGUGCUGAAGCAACAAAUGCCCUGCUUCCAGGAAAAGCCUCUAAGCAUCAGGUAACAUCAAAUCGUACCCCAAACCGACACAGGUGGUCAGGUAGAGAAUACCAAGGCGCUUGAG